RNAcentral lists this transfer RNA (67 nucleotides) under Myodes glareolus (Bank vole). RNAcentral describes it as "tRNA-Phe". It matches the Rfam family "tRNA". Rfam says of the family: Transfer RNA (tRNA) molecules are approximately 80 nucleotides in length. Their secondary structure includes four short double-helical elements and three loops (D, anti-codon, and T loops). The record is from RNAcentral. Lineage: Eukaryota; Metazoa; Chordata; Mammalia; Rodentia; Cricetidae.
GUUAAUGUAGCUUAUGUUAAAGCAAAGCACUGAAAAUGCUUAGAUGGAUGCAAGCAUCCCAUAAACA